Molecule: ribosomal RNA, 413 nt
Filed under: uncultured bacterium
Lineage: Bacteria
Description: bacterial SSU rRNA
Rfam family: Bacterial small subunit ribosomal RNA
Source: RNAcentral
CAGCCAUGCCGCGUGUAUGAAGAAGGCCUUCGGGUUGUAAAGUAUUUCAGCAGUGAGGAAGGUGGGUAGUGUUAAUAGCACUAUCAUUUGACGUUAGCUGCAGAAGAAGCACCGGCUAACUCCGUGCCAGCAGCCGCGGUAAUACGGGAGGGUGCGAGCGUUAAUCGGAAUUACUGGGCGUAAAGCGCAUGCAGGUGGUUUGUUAAGUCAGAUGUGAAAGCCCGGGGCUCAACCUCGGAAUUGCAUUUAGAAACUGGCAGACUAGAGUACUGUAGAGGGGGUAGAAUUUCAGGUGUAGCGGUGAAAUGCGUAGAGAUCUGAAGGAAUACCGGUGGCGAAGGCGGCCCCCUGGACAGAUACUGACACUCAGAUGCGAAAGCGUGGGGAGCAAACAGGAUUAGAUACCCUGGUAG